This 309-nucleotide ribosomal RNA is filed under the name Triticum aestivum (bread wheat). RNAcentral describes it as "partial small subunit ribosomal RNA". Lineage: Eukaryota; Viridiplantae; Streptophyta; Magnoliopsida; Poales; Poaceae. The record is from RNAcentral.
AUGAUGAGGACUUGCACGUGUCAGGAAAUCUGUGAAGAUACAUUGGUAAUAAAACUCCUGUCAAAAUAUACUACUUUUAGCUUGAAGGUGCACUCAUUUUUGAAUACAAUGUUUUUUCAGGUGAUUAGCAUUAUGUUGUGUUAUAUGUAUGUAUCCAUGCCCAAUGAAGAAAAGGGGAGAUCAGACACAGUAUGGUUUCUCUGGAUAGAGUGCAAAAGUCAUCAACUUAUCACACAAUUGAUGAUUCUUAUUUGCUAUUAUGGGGUUUCUGCAGCCUGCCUGCGGGUAAGAUGUGGAAAUGUUAAGUAA